Molecule: transfer RNA, 71 nt
Filed under: Loxodonta africana (African savanna elephant)
Lineage: Eukaryota; Metazoa; Chordata; Mammalia; Proboscidea; Elephantidae
Rfam family: tRNA
About the family: Transfer RNA (tRNA) molecules are approximately 80 nucleotides in length. Their secondary structure includes four short double-helical elements and three loops (D, anti-codon, and T loops).
Source: Rfam by way of RNAcentral
GCCUGGUGGCAAAAUGGUUAAGCGCUUGGCUGCUAACCAAAAUGUCGGAGGUUUGAACCCACCCAAAGGCU